RNAcentral lists this long non-coding RNA (20981 nucleotides) under Malus domestica (apple). RNAcentral's name for it is "long non-coding RNA (MDOM_LNC006622)". The record is from RNAcentral. Lineage: Eukaryota; Viridiplantae; Streptophyta; Magnoliopsida; Rosales; Rosaceae.
UGCUGUCGGGCUUCUGCUUCGUUUCUGGGCGUUGUCGGGCAAGUCUCGUCGGGCAAGUCUCGUCGGGCAAGACUCUUCGGGCAAGGUUGAAAGAGAAGGACAAAGUUAACUUUGAGAGGUGCCUUUGUGGGGCCUUAGGUAUAGGCCUUGAGGCUCACAAUCAAGGUUAACAUUUAGGUGCUCAGGCGUGCCACUGCCAUCCUUAGCAUGGCAGAUGUAAAAUGGUUGUCGUUCUUUCAUUGUAUAUAUAUAUACAUGUAUCCAAGAAACCGUGUUUAGUUAUAACAGGUGCCUUUGUGGGGCCUUAAAUGUAGGCCUUGAGGCUUCCCAUACAUAACUAAACCAGUACUCGAACGCAUCAUAUGUAUUCUUGUGAUUGUCGGAGUCUUCUAACUAUUAUAUUUCUGAUUACCCGAAUCCAAGGAAUAGAACGAACCCAAAUGGGUGCCUUUGUGGGGCCUUAGGUGUAGGCCUUGAGGCUUCCCAUCAGAGUUCAUUCUUAUGCUUAGACUCUUAAGAUCGCUGAAUAGGAUGAAUCCAAAUGGAUGCCUUUGUGGGGCCUUAGGUGUAGGCCUUGAGGCUUUCCAUUAGAGUCCAUCCCAUGCUUAAGCGUUCUAUGAUAAUCAUGAUAUAAUAGAAAGAAAACUAGAAGGUAGGUCGAUUACUUGCGCCCUAAGUAACUUCGGACUUCUCGUUUAUCAAGGAUUGUCGUGGAUGGGUUAAGUCCACAUAAAGUUCAUUUUUAUGCCUUGAGGCCAAUGACUUUUAAACUAAUCAGAUUUACAUGCCUGCGGGCUUAGGACUUGGAUCUAAUUUAAGCAUUGAAGAUAUAUUUAAAUCAGAUCCAAGUGUUGAGAAAGCUUUGUCAUCGUGAUUUUGCUAGGAACAACUUGCAUAUAACUAAAAACAUACAACAUAUCGCUAGACUUUAAAGAAAGAAAAGACAAAGACAGAACAAAACAGGUCGGGCAAGAUUAAACCUUAUCAAUUAAGGCUGAUCGUCUUGCAGGUCCCUAUCUUUGUGGUUCUGUCAAAGGUCUGAAAGCUUAGGUGGAGAGGGGAAAGGAGAAUACAAAAGGGUGAAUCGAUACUACAACAAGUUGAACAAGGUAGCAGAGCUAUUACAAAGUUUAGGAGAAAAGAUUUAUCCCGAGGGGGAUGAAAGCUUGGGCUGACUACAGCUUCGUUUGAAGGCAAAUCUGGCUUUUUGAGCAGAGUUUGUGCUUUUGUUUGUUUGAUUGAGUGUCUUUUGUUUGUUUGAUUGAGUGUCCUUAUUCCUGUCUUCUCUUCCUCCUUUUAUAGACUACUCGGUUCGGCUCCUGUAGCAACAGCUUUGCCCGAAUGCGGUCUGAGGGUGAUGACUCAUCAGCUUUAUUACAUGUAAUGCCACCAUAAAGUACUUUAUGGGCUGUGCAGUCUGAUCAGUCUACACCACUUGAUCCUUGGGUAGGUAGGCAAGUGGCCUUUGUGAAUUGUAUCAAGUCAGAAAAGGCCCUUUCCUGCCUUCCCAAGUCUCGGCUGGGCUUUGAUCUUCUCUUCCUCCAGGCCUCCUUUUGGGCCGACUCCAACCUUGGGCCAAAAAUCAAGUUUUAAUCCAAACAGGUUAAACUAAAUACCUCUUACACAUAAGUUAAAAUAAAUAUCAAUGAACCGUAACACUAUUAAGUUAUAGAAAAAUAGUAUAGUUAGGAAAAUGUGUUGGGUCAUGAGUCGGCCUAGUCCAAUACUAUAAAACAACUUAGGUCCGAUGAGCCUGUCAGGGUUAACCCAUUUGUUGGGUCAUGACUCGCGAGUUGGCCAAUAUAUACACAACGGGCUAGCAACAAUAAUGUGGUUCUAGUUCGCUUUUGACAAGAAUUGAAUCAAAACUUCUCACUUACAAAUGAAAAGGAAUACCACUACACCGAAAUACUAAGUGACACUUUAUCCUCAUCAUUAAACUAAAACACUAAAUUGUCUUCUUCUUUCCUAUUUAAUUUCCAAACGUCACUAAACAUGUCAAUAGAAAAAUGCAUUUCCUGUACCCUAGGAAAAGUCAGGGAAUUCCUUUCCAAGUACUAAACGCACCAUUAGAGUAAAAUUGAUAAUUCCUAGCGAAACUCAUGAGUCUGUAAUUUCUUAGACUCAUGUUUUCGGUUGUAACUAUUUAAAUCUAUGUUUGUCCCUCGUACUCUUGAUCACAAAGUAUGUCAAAUAUUUUAGAAAUAUUCACCCAAGUAAGUUUGUUAUAUAUAUGCAUUCAUGUAGUUAGACCUUAUUUGUUAUUUGGGUUUAAUAAUAUUCAUUCGGAAUUUAUUUAUUUGAUAAUUUAGUUUGUCAUGUUUGAUAUUUUUCAAAUAUUUUCAAUAUUACUCACACACGGUUAGAGACGGACCUGCAUGGCAUGUUUGCACACAGAAAAAAAUUGAUUAUUUGACAAAUAGGGUGCAUGAUGCAUCACAACAUCUUGCGUUUUUCAGAGAAAUAGUAUUCUUUUCAUGCUGGUUUUAUUUGGUCUUUAAUUCAAAAUCAAUUAUGGAAAUGUUACUUGAUUUUUGUAAUUGGUUGAUUUUCAAAAAAUUAUUUCAUUCCAUACAUUAUGAAUAAUCGGCGUUAGUAUGUUGCAAAGUUUGAGAAGAAGUUGAUCGAUGACUACGUUAGUAUCGUGCCACUUCCACUUGAAGGCUGAAGAGAGUUUGAGUAGCAAAGCAUGGAGAUAAAAUUGCCUACUAGUCAUUGAGGUUUGUAAGUCUUUCCGUCCUCAUUUGUCCUGACUUGGGAGGGAACCCGAGGAUUUUCCUACGUCCAUGUGUACAUUUUAUUUGUUUAUUAUGUAGGAUAUUUCAUAUGAUGCGGAUGUGAAAAUUAAUUUGAGAAUCGAAAUUGACAUGAAAUUUAUAAAUUGGAACCUAUUCACCCCCCUUAAACUAGUACCAUCCUUCAUUGAAACAUAACAUAUGAGCACUCCAUCACCACCUUCUCCUUUCACACCAUGGUGGAUUUUGCGGAUUUCUCAACCACCAAUCUCUUUCUCGCAAAGUACUUCUAUGAUAGUGCUACAUCGCCAUGGUAGAGUCUCAAGCCAAUGAAACAAUUAUCUCAUAAGUUUUUCUUCACAGAAAGGUUCUAAAAGACGCUGGGUGCUAGUCUCAUAGCGGGCUAGGGCCUAGGGCCUAGCGCCUAAGUGGCUAGGCGAAUUUAAGUAAAUCUAUUAUAUUUCGUGUAAAUAAGUGUUUGUUUAUACUUAAAAUAUAUAUAAUUUCAUCAUAAACUACAAAAUAUAAUAAUAUAUAUUAUGAAGUAUUGGAAUAUAAUGAAAACAUAUAGGGAACAAACAUAGAAUGUGUGUUGAUUUAAGUAUUCAACAAGUCUCUUACAAUUUAUUGAAAAAAAUAAAUGCAAAAUGAGAGUUAUCUAUUUUCUAUCUAAGUGAGCUGCAACCUAGACGAGUGCCUAGGCGGGUCUGGGCAGGCUAGACGGGUGACUAGGAGGUCUAGGUGGGCACCUUGACAGGUAUAUGCGCCAUUUCUUAAUUUUCAAACGCCUAGGCAUUAAUUGGGAUGGUAGCCAGCCGCCUAGCGCAUGAGAAUUUUUAGAACAGUCUCAUUAGCACGAAACACGAUAAAGAGGAUACACCAUGUUCAAAUUCAUUUCAAGACACAUAAGGACCCAAAGGAAGAGACAAAUAAAACCAUCACAAACCCACCACUUAAACCCCAAAAAAUCGAAACCAAAAAGAAUUCGCACUCCCUCACUCUUUCGAUAGCCAACAAUGGCGAACCUGAAGACGGCAAUGGACUCAGCCUUUUGGGACUUGAACGUUUCUUCACCUCAGACCCUUGAGGGCUCUGCCGCCGUUCCUGGCGACCCAUUUCCUCUCGACGGUACUCGAGCCAGCCAAGCCCUUAGGAUUCAACAACUCUCUCUUCUGGGAAAUGGGUUCCCUUUGGGUGUUAUACCUUCUGUUCAGGUGAAGAUUUCUCUGGAGAAGGCUCCUCGGAUCUCAGCACAGCUCCCCAAAGGAUUGGCACUUUGGAUGGGUAGUAGGGCUCUUGCUUGUUGAUAUACUAUAAGAAGAGGACAAAGUUAGUUAUGAAAAAGUGCAUUUGUGGGGCCUUAGUUGUAGGCCUUGAGGCUCGCAAUCAAAACUAACUAAGUGCUAGGCGUGCCACUGCUAUCUCAGUAUAGCAGAUGUAGAACAAGUGUGUUUAGUCAAUUACUUGCGCCCCAAGUUACUCGGACUUCUUGUUAUCAAAAGAUUGUCGUGGAUGGGUUAAGUCCACAUUAAGUUCUUUUUAUUGCCUUGUAAACAAGGACUUUUAGUUCAUAGUCUCGUAUGUUCAAAUGAAGGGAGUCCAAAACCCUUUAAGCCAUUUACUUAGUUGUUUGAUUUUAAUGAUAACAUAUCCAUUAAACUAACCAGAUCCAGAUACAAAUAGAACUCUUAAAGUAGGAAAACUGUUGGAAAUAACUUGAAUACAUACUGGAGAAUGCAUUAAGUAAUAGAUUAGAAAACAAACAAAGAGCCUCAUGCAAGAUUUCACCUUGUUUGGCAAGGUUGAACCUCUUGCAAUCGUUUCUCUUUGAACUAACAGUGGUUUGUACGCUAAAAAAGGAUGGAUGGUAAACAAGUUUACACAAGGGAAUUGAUACUAUGCCACUAAGGGAGGUACCAGAGCUUUAAACUGGACAAGAGAUAGCUUGUCGCUAAAAAGGAUUGAAUCUGGGUUGAUUUCAGCUUUUGGAUGCAAAUCUGGCUUGAGAGCAGAGUUUGUAUGUUUGUUUGUUUAAUUGGUUGAGUGUCUGGCUUGAGAGCAAAGUUUAUAUGUUUGUUUAUUUGAUUGGAUAAGUUGUCUCUAGGGCCUCUUCUUCCUUUUAUAGGCAAAUUAGCCCGACUGUUGUAACUUUGUUCUUACCUGAAAGCACUUGGAGGGUAGUGAGUCAUCAGCUGUUUACUUGGAAUGCCAUUAGAAAGUGUUCUUUGGCUGGUAGUAGGUUAGUCUCCAUCACUUGUCACUUCAAUGGUAAGCACGUGUCUUGUAUCUUGGCUGAGAAGGCUUCAAUUUGCCUUUGGGCUUGAUGCCGGGCUUCGGGCAAGUCUCCUUUAAUUUGGCACCGUUGGGCUUUCUUUCAUCCAAGUCCAAUGUUAAAAUAUUAACCCAAAUAGUGCCCCCUUUAAUCAUUGUUGAGUCUACAACCCAAGACGCUAAUAAUGAUUAAACAGCCACCACAAGCCUUCACUCGGGACUUGCCCAUUGUAAAAUAACCGUUGUUUAACAAAAACCUUUGCAUUUACCCACGAAUUCCAAUGUUAACCAACCACUUACUAUAUGAUCCCUAUAUAAACUCUCUGGCUAGCUAAAUACCUUAGCAAUUUCGAGCCUUCAAAUUUCUAGAACUCUCAGUAUUCUCAAAACUUUCCCAGUAUACUCUUGCUUUCUUACUUCUUACUCUUUAAUCGUCAAUUUUCUCCUCAUUUUCCUUCAACUCUACUCAAUGGCACCCAAAGUUGCUUGAACUCAAUCUUCUUGCGAGACUGGUGAGGGGAUUUCCACCAUGUGCCGCUUGCUCAACGACCUUCAUCGCCCUCGGGCAAGCUUGCAUAUUGAACUUUUCUUCAAGGAAGGAGGAGUACAUUCCUUGGUGCCUGCAUGGACCUCUCCAGUCCCUAUAGCUGUAGCAAACAAUAUGCCCAAGGAGAAAUGGUUCACUCCCAACCCAUUCUUGGCCGAGUCAGGCAUUUCUUUCUCCAAAUGGUCAAACCACCAUCGCGACUUCCCUCUGAUGAAGGACGAGGGAUGAACGCAAUGGAUUAACGAGCUCGAGCCUAUCUUUAAAAGGAAAUGGAUGAACAACGAAAUUUAUGAGCUGAUAAUGUUGUCCAAGUCGAAUAUGAUUGCUAAGCCCGAGUUAUUAACAACUGCACUUCUUUUUUGGAACUCGGGCUCCAACACUUUCAACUUUAAGAUGGGCCCCAUGUUCCCGACCAUCCUUGAUAUGGUGCAGGUCUUUGGGCUAAGGCCCUCGGGUAGGGUAAUAGACGUCACCCACGACUAGUCAUUGGCUUCUACAGUAUCCUCAGAAAGGCGUACUACGUCCAGCUUCUGUUUCAAGACUUCUAUGGCAUUGAGGAGUAGCUUCUACUUUCUUGAUCACUUCAUCAUCGUAGGUGUAUGCUUUGGGAUCAACUACCAUGACCUUGUCGGUUUUAGGAUCAAUGUCAAAGACUUUGGUAGGACUACUAUCAACCCAAGCUUUCUUCUCCUUAAGUGUCGAAGUAUCCAUUAGCUCAUCAUUGAUUCGAACGUUGAGUUCAUACAUGAAAGUGAUAGUGGCCUUUAGUGACCACUUAGCAUAAUCUUUGUCAAUCCUCUUUCUGGCAAUGGCCCUCAGCCUUAAUUCAUGUCCCCUCAUUCUAUAUCCAUUCCAGCUACCACCUCGUUGCCCAAGCUUGUUAAAGAGUUCCGGCGAAUUAGAACAAAGUUAAAGUCCUCAGGGUGCCCUUCAGAGCCUCAACAACUUCAGGAUCAGCUGUGGGAUUGAAGAGGUCAAGAAAGUAAAUGUUGAAGUUGAAGAUGCUUAAGCACAGUUAGCUAAUAGUAACAUUACUUUGGAGGAGCCAGGUAGAAUCUUCACUAUGCAGACAUACCAUUCUAGGCUAGCUGCCUUAGCCAAGGAUGUAAAACUAUUGAGCUGAUUCUUAUGUAACUUCAACAUUCAAUGAAAUGAAAAUGACUUCUUUAAUCCACUUUAGCUUGCAUUUUCUCCUUGAAACUCAACUAUGAUGAGCAUAUAAACUAACUUUUGGAUCUCUUACAAUGUCUAAACUUCUUCAAUGUAACAAUCCUUAACAUCCCACAAGGUUAGGUGAUAUUUCUUAAAAAACUUAGCAUUAACUGGAUGCCUCUGCAAGCUUCCUUCCACAUAUGCCAAGUAAUAUCCUCCUUUGUCUAGUACUUGGUGAAUAACAAAAGGACUUUCCCAAGUAGGACUCUAUUUCCCAAAGCUUCUUACGUGAGCUCCCAAAGGUAGCCCUGUUUUCCUUACUAAUUUUCAUCCCUUGAAGGUCUUUAACUUUACCUUCUUAUUGUAAGCUUGGGCAACAACUUUCUUCCCCUCUUGAAUUUUGUUCAAAGCUUCAAUUCGAGCUACAUCUAGAUCUUCAACUCCUUGACACAUAGCCUGAAUAUAUUUUUCACUGUGCAGCCCAAAUUGGUUUUGAAUCCUAAUAGAACUCACAUUUAUUUCUAUGGGGAGUACAUCAUUUUGCCCGAAGGUUAAGGCAUAAGGAGUAAUUCCAGUUCCUGCCCUCUUGGAGGUUCUAUAGGCCCACAAAGUCUCUCCUAAUUUCUCAUGCCACUUCUCUGGACUCUCGGCCACCAUUCUUUUAAUAAUGUUCACCAAGAUCUUAUUACUGGCCUUUGCUUGACCAUUUGAUUAAAGAUAGUAAGGACUAGACUGAAUCAUCUUUAUCUUGAACUUACUUGCAAACUCCUCUACUUCUCUUGAAAUAAAAGAUGGCCCGCGGUCUGUGACAGUUAUCUCGGGCACCCUAAAUUUAUGUAAGAUUUUGGUUUCAAUGAACUUUUUGACAGCAGUUGAAGUGAUAGUUUUUACAGCUGAAGCUUCCACCCACUUGGUAAAGUAGUAUGUUGCCAUAAUUUCGAAUGUGUGUCCUCUGCUAGAAGCUGGAUAUAUUUGCCCGAUAAAGUCCAUUGCCCAUCUUCAGAAAGGCCAAGGCUUGACCACGAGGUUUAAAGGUACUGAGGGCACAUGUUGGAGAGGUCCAUGUCUUUGACACUUUUCACAUCCUCAGGUAUAGGCCUUGCAGUCUUUCUCCAUGUCAGGCCAGAAGUAACCAUAUCUCCUAAGUAACCACCUCAUCUUGGUUCCCGCUUGAUGAGCUCCAUAGAUUCCUUCAUGUACUUCAGCCAUGACUCUCAUAAAUUCUUCUUGGCUUAAGCAUUUUAACAACAGUCCAUCUGGAGUUUUUCUUAACAUAACUUUAUCCCACAUGACAUACUUAGUUGCUUGUCGUCUAUUUUUCUUACUUGUAGGGAAGGAUGAAUCUUUCAAAUACUGAUCAAUAGGUGUCUUCCAAUCCUCUAUCUCUAUUUCUUCAGUCAUCACAUCUAGGCUAAAUCCCCUUUCAAAGAUAGACGAGAGAUUUCUUUUCUGAACUUCUAUAUUUACUUCAAACUUCAUUUCUUGGAUCUGUGCUCCAGAAGCCAACUGUGCCAUCUCAUUGGCCUUUGCAUUUGAUUCUCUAAGGAUAUAGCUGAUUGAUAUUUCAGUGCCCCAAUAACUUAACAAUUGAGUGGCCGCUAAGUAAUAAUCGGCCAUAGUGAUGUGUCUGAACUUGUAUUCUCCAUUUAGCUAAUUGAUCACCAACUCUAAAUCACCAAACACCUCGACUUCAAUUGCCCCUAACUCUAUUAAUAUUUCCAGGCCAAUUAUCAAUGCCUCAAACUCUGCCCGAUUGUUGGUAGUCUUUUGAUAAUCCAAGAGGAAUGCAUAACAAUGAUGAAUACCUUUGGGAUCAAUGAUAACAAUCCCAGCUCCAUCAACAUUUUGAAUGUAAGAACCAUCAUAACAGUCUUCAAUGAGUGAUCUAAAGGCUAGUUAUUCUUUUUAUCUCUUACUGGAUCCAUUCUUCUCUACCCGAGAAGGCUUUGCUUGGUGGGAUCCAUACACUGGCUACCUCCAGAGUUUCUGGGAUGUUAAUAAUCUCAUUUUGAGACUCUUGGUGCUCGGCCAAAAAGCCUGCAAUUGCUUAUCUUUUGAUCACUCUCUGAGACACAUACUGAAAGCUGAACUCUGAUAGUGCUAGAAUCCACUUUCCAAUUCUCACAGUUAGCAUUGGUUUUGACAGCAUGUACUUGAUCACAUCUGUUUUGGCGAUGAUGUGGAUGUGGUAAGGCAACAUGUAAUGCCUUAGCUUGCAGGCAGUGAAGUAUAGAGCCAAACACAGCCUCUCUAUUGGUGUGUAUCUUAUCUCUACCUCAGUAAGGAUUCUACUGACGUAGUAUAUUGCUUGUUCCUUCCCACCUUCAUUGUUUUGGGCCAGCAAGCUUCCCAUUGACUUUUUAGAGGCAGAAACGUAAAGUUUUAAAGGCUUCCCCCUCUAAGGUGGCAUGAGCACUGGUGAAGAGGCCAAGCAAGCCUUUAUUCUGUCUAAGGCCUCUUGGUGGGGUGGAACCCACUCAAACUCUUCUUUGUCUUUCAAUCUUAACAGAGGAGUUAGUAAUUGAAUCUUGUCCUCCAAGUUAGCAAUGAAUCUUCUUAAGAAGUUAACUUUCCUCAGCAGCCUUUGCAAUUGUACUUUAUUGGUAGGAGGAAGUGAUUCCAUUAUUGCCCGAGCUUUGUUCUUGUCAACCUCUACACCUCUUUGAUGAACAAGGAAUCCUAAAAAGUUGGCCGACCUUACCCGAAAAGAACAUUUCUUUGGAUUCAUUUUUAGUUUAUGGAUCCGCAUUCUUGUUAAGGCUUGUCUGAGGUCUACCAAGUGUUGUUCUUCAGUUUUAGACUUAACCAUGAUGCCAUCAAUGUAUACUUCCAUGCUAUGGCCAAUCAAGUCAUGAAAAAUGUCAUUCAUCGCUCUUGGAUAGGUUGCUCCAGCAUUUUUUAGCCUGAAUGGCAUUACUAAGUAUUCAUAUGCUCCAACAUGACCUGGGCACCUAAAAGCUAUUUUGUGUAUAUCUUCUUUAGCCAUAUUUAUCUGAUUAUAAUCGGCAUUCCCAUCCAUAAAAGAUAGGACUCUGUGUUUGGCAACUGCAUCUAUGGAUAAGUCAACCAUGGGCAUGAGACAUUCAUCUUUAAGCGUGGCUCCAUUAAUGUUUCUAUAAUCAACACAACAUCGAACUGCAUUAGUUAUAGCUUUUAAUACAUGUACAAUGUUGGCCAACCACUAGACAUAUUUGGCAGGCCUAAUAAAUCCAGCCUUUACCAGUAUCUCAAUCUAUUCUUUGACUUUUUCCUCGAUCUCUUUUGACAUCCUCCGUGGUGCUUGCUUCAUAGGUUUAUCUCUCUCCUUAAUAGGCAUUUUAUGUUCUACUAAGGUUGAAUCUAAACCUGGCAUCUUAGUGUAAUGCCAAGCAAAACAGUCUUUAAAUUCAUAGAGGAGACUCACUAUCUUUGCCCAAACUUCAACUUCCAACAUGCCACUGAUUUGUAUAGGUCUUAGAUCUUCUUUAGUCCCCAAAUUAAUGGUUUCUAAGGGAUCUUAUACCUCUAGUGGUGGCUUGUCAGGUUCUGCACACAAAAAUUCGACUAACUAUGGGUUUCGGGCAAGUUUUCUGGCCCAUCCAAGUUAUAUAUACAUUCAGCCAUUUGGAUGACUGAUUCCAGCUUAUUUCCAAAAAAGCUCUACCUCUUCUCUAUUCUGGAUGCUUGAGGCUUCUUCCUUUUGUUUUUUGGCCAAGCUCUCAUUUUCUUGCUUCAUCUCUCUUCCAUACACCAACAGUCUUUUGAUUAAGGACCUGACUGCAACUACUUGGUCCUUUCUUUUUUGUUUUGACAUUACUGGUGUUGGGGAGUUAGGACAAUAUAGGGCCUAUCCCAUUCUUCCUUGGUAAGGAAUAAUCCUUGUUCCAGAAGCUUUUGGGCCGUCACCUUAGUCGGGCGGCCGUUCUCAUCAGCUUCUAAGCACUGGAGAAUCCUAAUACUAGGAUUGUAAAGAUGACUUCUGCAACAUUGGUUGUAAGGAGGAAUGGCUGUGACUCGGCCUUCACCAUCUCCCAAAAUCAUGGUCUUAUGGCUAUUUCUUUAUGGUAAACUACUACUUGUUGAUGCAAGGUAGAAGGCACAAAGAGAUUCUGAUGAAUCCAAUCUUUGCCUAGUAAAGCUCCAUAGGUGGAAGUACUAUCCACAACGAAGAAGGCUAGCAUGAUUUUCUUGGAGCCCAAGUUAACCUCCAUGGGCAAUAUCCUAUGAGUUCUAGUGAUGGCUCCAAAGAAACUGGAAAUUGUUAGAUCUGUAGGGAUAAGAUCCUUCUCAUUUCUACACAUCAUUUUCAUUUGCUUAUACGGCAACACAUUGACCGCAGCUCCUCCAUGAAUCAAACCCUCUUAAAGGGUAUUCCCUCCGGAUUAGCAGUUACAUAAAUAGGCUUGAGAUGGUUAGCUAGGGUCAAGCUCGGGCAACUGAAGACCAUUCUGUCUGAGUACACUUUCUUGGGCUCUUUCUUUGUGGGUUUGAGCAAACCUACUCUGCCCGACUCCUCUUUUCCCGCUUCUUCAACACUAACAUGUGCCAUUAUAGGUUAUGUUACCAAGUAAUCACCCUCCAUUGUGGUAGGUUGAUUAGGGUCAUCACAAAACAUGGCAGAUAAAACAUAUGUCAUGUUUACGUGGAAGUUGCUGGGUUCAGGUAAGUCUUCCUUCUUGCUCCCAAUGUGGCCCAUGAAUUCAUCUGACCAGGCAUGUGCUUCUUUGGGCAGCAUUAGUUCGGUCAGCGCCUCCUCUUGAGUUAUGCCAAAGUUUGGCAUUUGUCCUGGAACUUCACAAAUAGUAUCGACCAACAAUGGUGAGGGUGUCCCCUUCUCAGGCGUGAUAGUUCCAAAACAUAUUGGCUCUGGGCUCCAUCUUGGUGUUGGCAUCAUUACCAUGUAUUCCUAAUGUCACGGGCCGCAUGUUCAAAACAAAGAAAAUGCCCAAGACAUCAUAUAUCUAAGCCCAUGAAGCCUUGUCUUCAUGGAAGCUUCUGGAACGUCCCGGAGAAAUCAAGAACGUGGCGGAGCAUUCAAGAUAAUCUAGGGCAUUCCGGAACAUUCCACACAAGUGUACAUAUUUAAGCCUCACCUAGAAUAAUCUAGAUUAGGCAAGUUGUAUCUAGAACUAUGCUUGAUAUUUUUGGAUGUAAGUAGGGGAUUCUAGAACCCUCCAUUGAGGAGGUGACUUAGGCCUAUAAAUAGGAGGUAAGGCCAUUUGGCCAAUCUAUCCAAGAAUUGUAAGCAAUUGUAAAGUUCUCUUAACUUUCAAUACAAAGCUUCCUUUCUCCCAUCUUCUAAGUGAUCUUAGCAUUCUCCAAGUUAUCUUAGCUUUCUUUGUGAUUCGAUCCGGGGAAGCGAGGCUUCGAAGGCUUACUUAGCUUGUUCGUCGAGGUAUUCAAGUCUAAGUGCCGCACGGGUGGAAGGCUUAAAGAGUCAUCCCGUGACACUAAGCUCUUCUCAAGAUACUAUACUUCCCAGGAUGAGGGUUUUUUGGCACAUGAUCUCCUUCCCCCUCUGUUUUGCUAUUAGCCUUUUCUACCUCCGUUUUGGUUUUCCAAUGAAGUUGAUUUCUUCCCCCAUGAGGUACUGUCUCAAACUUCACAUUUUCAGAGGCUUCUGAUGUAGUAGGGACUUUUAAUGAGUUCAUGUGGGCUUUGUGCUGCCUCUGGACUCUCAUGAUCAUAGAGGCUCUUAUUUCUUUAACAAGUCUCCCAUCAUUUCUAACCACGUACCAUUUCUGGCCAAGUCAGGCAUGAUUUUUCUUCAUGACUGGAUUCACUAUCCUCUCAUUUAUUCUGACAUCUACACCAACAUAUCUUAGCUGGGGUAGCCUCACGUCCACCCAUUUUGGUAUUUUGGCUUCUCUGUUUCCCCUUCUUCAGAGGCUUCAUAAUUUCUAAAUACCUCUGACAAGCCAUUUGGUUGAGAAUCUCCUCCUAACUGUUGGAAAACAUUUAUGGAUGUCUCUUUCUCAGCUGCCCGUAUGAUGCUUUUGUGGGCUUCUUGUUAUUCUUUCCCUCUUAUUCUGAUUAAUUCUUGAUCAAUAAUGGCUCCUAAUGCUGGGACUUCCAACUCGCAUUCACACUGGCACUUGCUACACAACACCAACCCUUUAACUAUGGCUGCUUUGGGCUUCUUGGGUAACUUGCCUUCUUUCUACUUUCACUUCCCAUGUGGUCUUUCCUUUCCUUUUUUUAGCCCAAGUCAAGUUGAUCAUGUUUAUUGAUAAGCUCAUAUUUAUAUACAUUUUACAUCAAAUUCACUUGUCUUUUCUUAGUUAGUUCCUUAUAUUUUUGAGCUAUUUACUUUAUUUUUGUGUUUUGUGGGAUUUGUCAAGCAAAUAAAAGAAAAAUAGCACAAGUAGGAUUUUUAGUAACAAAUUCGUCAAAACUGCCUGUGCAGAUCAGCUGACUUUGGAAGCAAGUUGCGAAUAGCUCAGAAUGAAUUAGAGAAUGAGCCUUAUAUUCUUGGAAAGCUACGGAUGUCUAUUUUCUGGAGCAUUUCACAGAUUGUUAAUAUCAUUUUUCUAGAAGAAGUUAUGGCCGUUUUAAUACUGAAAGGUUUCCAAGACGCUGAGCAGUUUGUAACUGCAUUGAAGGCAAUAAAUCCAAUAAAACUAGCAGCCAAGAACAAGUCAGCUGACACCUCUUCAAAUAUCAGAUAAAAUGGAAUUAAAGAUGAGGAUUAAGAGGGAGUAAUUGGCAUAAAGGCUACCUAAAGUGUUACAAUUGUUUUACCACAUUUCCUCUCACUUAUUGUCAUCACUAAAUGGCUAUUAGUGGGUGAGUUAAGGAGAAGAAAAUGAUGCAGCAAGAAUGGGUUUAAAAGCAGCAUUGGGGAAGGAAGGAGGGGAGGGGAGGCCUCGGUCGAUUUCUUUCGGUUCUAUCUUCUCAAACUCAUGUCUAUCUUUUGUUUUAAGUUAAGGAUUGUGUGUAACUAAAUUUUUAGUAGUUAGGGGCUGUUUUGAAGCCCCGAAUAUGAUUGCAAUUUUAUUAUGACAUUUCGUUGAAUUACUUUUAUGAAUGGAUGAAAAUUGGUUCACUACUUGUCUCAUUGAUGAAUUCUUUAUUUGUUUUCUAUGGAUGCAUACGUAGUAAGCAUAUCUAGGAUUCUAAUGCUAUGAAUAUGUGUGUGCCUGCCCUUGUCGAAUGAGGACCUACAUAUAUUCUAGAGUAGUACUUGUUAAUUGCGAUUAACAUGUGAACCAAUUUCUAGGAUAAGUAAGACAACGCCAGUACUUACGAUGCCUUGUGAUGACUCAAACUCUUUUCGUUCUUAAUGAUUUCUACUUGUUAAAUCUAUGAACACGCCAUUCUAGAUUGCAUGCUAGGGACUAAGUUAAGUUGAAAACGACAUUCUCUUAACAUACUACGUAAGAAAGAGUAAUAGGUUGAGUUCUAACAUUGAGCCAACUUGAGCAUCUUCAUCUGGAAAUAAAACGAAUUUGAAUGAAACAUAACAUGUUUGCAUGAUUAUUUGGUGGUGGAUAGCAAUUCCCCUAACUCGUUUUUCUUAAUUUAUGAACUAUUUAAAAUUUGUUUCUGUCCUGUUUUUGUUCGAUUUAAUUUAAAUAGCAAAUCAACUCCAAAAAUCCCAAAAAUUUGUGUGAUGUAACUCUGUGUGUCUAGUAUCUGCAUAUAAAAUUUCGUAGACUUUAGAUAAGUAUAAGUCGGUCUAAUAAUUAUUUUUCGGUGGCUGGUCAGUGGGGACAGCAACCCGUUUUUGUGACAUUUUAAGUAAAAGAUAAAACAAUCUUCUGCGGGAAAGACCCUUAUUUUCAUAUGCUACAAUUGACAAAUCUUAGUGUUAAUAAGGAAAAUCAAUAGGAUAUUUGUGUGCUACUUUGUAGUGUGCUUUUAAUCUUAUCAUUUAUUGGGGAUUCUGGGAAAGGAUCCAUGUCAAUCAUCAUAUUGGCUUGUGAUUUUUCCAACAACAACUUUCCCUUCACUAUAAGGUCUUGUAUCAAAUCCCUGAACUGGACACAAUUGGUUAUGGAGUGAUUAAAGGUAUAGUGCAGCUUGCAAUACUUCUUUCCCCUCAGCUCUUCUGGCUUAGGCAUAUUUUUGGUGCUAUCGGGCACAAUCACUCUUGCCCGCACCAACUCUUUAUAGAUCUCCAAGAUCUUGGUCAAAUCAAAAGAGUACCUCUGGUAUUUAGGGGUUUCAUAGGGAUAGAUCCACCGUCAUUCAUCACCACUUUUUGAUCCUUGACAGGUUAAACUAACCCCUUCACUAUUAAAGGUUUAAAUGGGGUAGCCAUCUCUGCCGCACACAUGUCCAGUCCUUCUCUUCCAUGACCAUCAUUUUCUUUUGGUUCUGCUCCUUCAAACUCCACUUGGUGGAUUGUAGCUUUACUUUUGUAGAAAUGAGGCACCUUAGAUAAGUGUUUUACUUGUUAUUCUUUAAGUAACAGCUUCUCAUACUUUGUGGCAGCAAUCACCAAUUCUUGCAACUCAUUGAAUUGUACAUCAUAAAACUUUUUUCUCAAAGGCAGUCUCAAAGCCUUCUGAGCAAUGGAUAUAAGUUGGGCAUGAUUAAUAGGGAAUUGGCAUCUCAUUCUUGUCAUUCUGAACCUUAUCAUGAAGUCUUCUGUAGACUCAUGUUCAUAUUGCUUCACCUCUACUAAGUCAUUAAUGAACAUCUUGGGCUUCAUCCUAUAGAACUACUCAUGGAAAGCCAUCUCCAUUUGCCCCCAGUUAGCAAUAGAAUUAGGGGGCAAAAAAGAGUACCACUGAGAUGCUAGACCCACCAACGAGUUCCCAAACAAUCUUAACUUAUAAUUAGGAUUGUCCUCGAAUGCCACGCAAUGGUUGGAGAACUUGAAAAUGUGAUCUCUAAAGGACACACUUCCAUAUUCUCCACUAAAAGUGGGGAACGCGGGCAUCUUGAAGUUGAGUGGAAAAAGAUUUUGCUCAUCAAUAUACUCAGGGUAUGGCUUCUAAUAGGUGAUCCUGAAUAGCGGGCAAGCAUGAGGUUGAGCAUUCUGGACCACUAUCUUCCUUAACUCAGUUAACUUCUCUCUGAGUUGUUGGUUACCUGCAUUGUUCUAUGGGGUAUAUGGGGCUCCCCAUUUCGGGUUGGGAUCAUUGCCCGAUAAGGAUUCAUUCUUUGGGUCGGGCUGUCGAUUGUGUUGUUUCCACUUGGCAUCCCCUCCCUUAGUAGCCAAUGGUAGAUGCCUAUAAAGAUGAGGCUCGUCUGCCUUGGUAGGCUCGUCUUUUCUAUUGGAUUAUCCGAUUAACUGAGGCAUCCCAUACUUCCUUUUUUCCUGCUGACUCUAUCCCCCACUAUCUAGUGGAAAUAAUAGGGGGUCGGGCAGCUCUGACUCUAGGAUCUCCUCCAACACUAGCUGAUUAGCUCUAGAUCCCUCAUUGUUUUUUCCUUUAUCCCUUUUUUCCUCAAGCAAAGGAAAUACAGGGAUAACUGGUUCUUUUUUAGGGCUUGUUUCCCUCAUUUCCCUGGCAUAACCAUUUUUUGGAGUAGAGUACUCCAGAUCUAAUCUUCUUUGCAAGCUCCCUGUUAAAGAACAGAGUCUGCUUACUUUUCCUAUGGUCUCCAGAGUGAUCUUCUCCAUACUUUUCAACACUUGCACCAUGGUGUCUUGCAAAUCUUCAUUGGUCACCUUCCCUUCUGACUUCUCGGAUGAGGUCGGACUUCCCAUAAUAGCUGAUGGGGAAAUCUUCUGGCUGAUCUGUCAUGCCUGAUCUUGGUAGACACUGGGGUGGCCCGUAUUCUGUGUUCCUGUGUUCCACUUGAAGGUUUUCUCCUUCAUUCUUCUUCUUGGCAUACAAGACUAAUGGGAUCCCACCAGGUGUGCCAAAACUAUGUUCGGGCGAAGAUUUCUCUGGAGAAGGCUCCUUGGACCUCAGCAUAGCUCCCCAAGGGAUUGACAUUUUGGAUGUGUAGUCGGGCUCUUACUUGCUGAUGUGCUACAAGAAAAGGACAAAGUUAGUUUUGAAGGGUGCCUUUGUGGGGCCUUAGGUGUAGGCCUUGAGGUUCGCAACCAAAACUAACUAAGUGCUAGGUGUCAUUGCUAUCUGAGUAUAGCAGAUGUAGAACAAGUGUGUUUAGUCAAUUACUUGCGCCCCAAGUUACUCGGACUUAUUGUUAUCAAAUGAUUGUCGUGGAUGUGUUAAGUCCACAUUAAGUUCUUUUUCUUGCCUUGUACACAAGAACUUUUAGUUCAUAGUCUUGUAUUUUCAAAUGAAGGGAGUCCAGAGCCCUUUAAGCCAUUUACUUAGUUGUUCUUGGUUGAUUUUAAUGAUAACAUAUCCAUUAAACUAACCAGAUCCAUAUGCAAAUGGAACUCUUAAAGUAGGAAAACUAAUGGAAAUAACUUGAAUACAUACUGGAGAAUGCAUUAAGUAAUAGAUCUACAAAUUUAGAAAACAAACAAAGUGCCUCGGGCAAGAUUUCACCUUGUCUGGCAAGGUCGAACCUCUUGUAAUCGCUUCUCUUUGAACUAACAGUGGUUUGUACCCUAAAAAGGGAUGGAUGGUAAACAAGUUUACACAAGGGAAUCGAUACUAUGCCACUAAGGGAGGUAGCAGAGCUUUAAACUGGACAAGAGAUAGCUUGUCACUAAAAAUGACUGAAUCUGGGUUGAUUUCAGCUUUUGGAUGCAAAUCUGGCUUGAGAGCAGAGUUUGUAUGUUUGUCUGUUUGAUCGGUUGAGUGUCCUUGUCUCUCUCUUCUUCCUUUUAUAGGCAAAUUAGCCUGACUGCUGUAACUUUGUUCCGUCCGAAAACACUUGGAGGGUAGUGAGUCAUCAGCUGUUUACUAAGAAUGCCAUUAGAAAGUGUUCUUUGACUGGUAGUAGGUUAGUCUCCAUCACUUGUCACUUCAAUGGUAAGCACGUGUCCUGUAUCUUGGCUGAUAAGGCUUCAAUCUGCCUUUGGGCUUGAUGCUGGGUUUCAAGCAAGUCUCCUUUAAUUUGGCACCCUUGGACUUUCCUUCAUCCAAGUCUAAUGUUCAAAUAUUAACCCAAACACCUUCCUACUCCCCCACUUCUAACAAGGACUUGGGUUCUUUCUCUCUCCAGUCCCUCUUGCUCAGACCAGCUACCUCUAACUAGUACACUGCUACAACUUCUUUGCUUAGCUAUUGCCUAUUGGGUUUUCUCAAAUUUAUUUUAUUUUUCGUUUAAUGGAUAUUCUUUUUCGUUUUACGUGUUUCCGUGGAUUGGUUUGUGGUUUGUAUGGUUACAUGAUGGGAAAUGGGCGUGAUUCGUUUGUUGUUUGUUUGGUUGUCGGGAAAGUUUGGAGAGAAGAGCAAUUGAAAUUGUUGUUAUGGGGUUGAACUGGGUAGAGGAAAAAGGUUAGGAAAGAUCAUUUGUCUCCUGUUUCCUGAGAAAUGAACCUUUUUUUUGUUCUCCAAAUUCAUAUUUUUGUAAACGAUUUUUAUGUUACUAAUUGCUAAGGAGAGAGCUUGAGUGGAAAGCAUGACAGCCGAACAAAGUUUGUUUGCCUAGUUCUAGUGGUAUAGCACAUAAAGCAUGAAUUUUUUGUUGCCUUGUUAUUUUACUGAUUUGCAAGCGGGAUCUUAUGUUUUUCGAGAGCAUCAAAGGUUUAUCAGGUUUAUUAGAGCACUGGUUGGGAUUAUCCAAUUUUUUUUAUGGGAUUUCUUAGGUGAAAAAGUUUGUUUCGAUGUUUUGAAAUCUGAACAAUAUCCUCGGUAAUGAAUGUACUGUGUAAAUGCAUUGUAUUUUUGAAAUUACUAAUCCAAAUGUGUUGAGUUUAAUGCACUAUUCUAAAAAUCCCUGCCUAGCACCGUCUAGGCGCUAGGCGGUUGGUCACCACCCUGAUUAAUACCUAGGCAUUUGAAAAUUAAGAAAAGGGCACCUAGACCUACUAAGGCACCCGCCUAGACCGCCUAGGCACCCGCCUAGUCCACCCAGACCCGUCUAAGUUGCGACUCACUUAGAAAGAAAAUAGAUAACUUUCAUUUUGCAUUUUAUUUUUUCAAUAAAUUGUAAGAGAUUUGUUAAAUACUUAAAGGAACACACAUUAUAUACUUGUUCUCCAUGUUUUCAUUAUGUUCCAAUAGCUCAUAAUAUAUAUGUCAUUCAAUUUUGUAUUUUAUGAUGAAAUGAUAUAUAUUUUUAAGUAUAAACAGACAUUUAUUUACACAAAAUAAAAUAGAUUUAAUUAAAUCCGCCUAGUCCACCUAGGCGCCCGCCUAGACCCCGCCUAGCCGCUUAGGCGCUAGACCCCAGCCCGCCACCCGAUUAGCGUCUAGCGUCUAGCGUCUUUUAGAACCUUGAUUUAAUGUCCUAAUUUCUUGAGCAUGUUUUCUGUUGGAGGAAUGAAUUACGAGUUACUAUGCUUUGACCAAAGUCAUCUCACAUUAAUCAAAUCCGGUUAGCAAUCUUAGUUGUCCGACAUAAUAAUUCCCUUGUUACAUGAUCUGCGUAAAAAUAGGUGGCUUGGAUUAAUUGGGCAGUUCCGCCCGAAGAAACUCUUUUCUUCUAUUAAAGCUGAAUUUACCAAUGAUGAGAUGGGGGUCCCUACAUUCAAAGAUGUGGCGAAGCAUGUCUUGGACAAGUCACUUUAUUCGUAUGGAUUUUGGCACACAGCUUCUCUUCUUCUGUCUCCAUCAUCAUCCAUAAAGUUGAGCACAGAAGGGCAUGGUGAGAAAAAAAGACGCCCCAACAAAUUGAUGCUCUUUCAUAAGGCACGCAUUUACUUUCCUGUUUUGACCUUUAAUCAAAUUGUUUGUGAAGCUAGUUUGAGGGAUAAUUUGUUUACUGAUUGGAGUUGUUAGGUUUAAAGUUCUUUUUUGGGUUUGUUCAUGCCAGGUUGUAGUAUCAUCCAACUGCGAUUUUUUUUUCUUUCAUAUGACAAAUUUCAAUUAUAGGAAUUGAAGUUAAAAAUAAGUAAUUAUAGGGAUGUAUCACUUGAACUUUACCAGAUUCUGUCAGCAUGUAUAAUCUUAAAGUAUUGUUUCCUAAUUUCUUAAUUGUUGAAAAGUAGGGCCUUGUUUGGUCACUAGGAUUGGAAUGGAAUGGACAAACUACUAUAUUCAGGGUAUAUUAAAGAUAGAGGUGAAUGAUUUUUCAUAUUGAGGUGAUUAGAAGGGGGAUAUGGAAAAUAAUCCAUCUCCUACCUUCAAGUAAGCCACAAUUUUUUCAUUUCUUUCAUCAACAUACCUUGAAUAUAGUGGGUUGUCCAUUUCAAUCCAAUCUUAGAGACCAAAUGAGACCACAAUUUUUUCAUUUCUUUCCUGAACAUACCUUGGAUAUAGGUUUAUAUAUAUAUCAAUAUGCUUCAAACAUCUUAAUUUACAAGUUUCUUCUGUUUACCACUUUAUUUAUAGUUUACAUGACUUGAUAACAUCGCACAUAUGCACUGCACGGAACAUAGAUAAAAUUGGAAAGUUUCAUGUCUAUAAAUUAAGAGCCAUGUACUGAAAAGGUUAAUAUCUGUACCUUUAACAUUGCACAUGUGCUGCCUAAGCUGUUUUAGUGAAAAAGUUCAUGUCUGUACCUUUAUUUCAUUUAUUUAUCUUCCUGUUUAAAUUAUGAGCCAUGCAGUGGCGAAGCCAGGAAUUGACGGGAGGAGGGGCGAAGUUAUAAGCCAGGACUUCUUAUAUUUGAAGGAGGAGGAGGAUGACUACUUGGAAUAUUUGAAGGAGAAGGACUACCCGAAAUGUUUGAAGGAGGAUUUAAGCAUUGUUUCUUAUAGUACCGUUCCAUUACGUAACUGUAAAAUGGAAAGAGAAAAAAAUCUUAGACUCUUAAUCCUAGAGUAGACUAUACUAAUAUACAUAAUAACCCAACCAACAAUUCAAUUAAUCAAUACCAAUAAGCAUAUAAAUUAUUAAAUAAAUAAAAAAUUCAUUCAACUAAUCAUAUGAAUACAACUAAUCAAAAAUUCAAAUUUUAAUUUUCACCCUAAAAAAUAAUUUCAUAAUUUCAUAUCAAUCAAUAAUCAUAGAAUCAUAUCAAUAAUCAAUAAUCAAUAACCAUAUUAGUGCAUUACCAUAUGAUUCUAUACUAAUUAAACAAAAUUCGUAUUAAAUAAUUAAUUAGGGUUAGGGAUUAUAAAUUUAGGAAUUAAAAAAUUUACCUUUGAAAUUGAAGGCUAGAAGUCGGCUUAGCGGCUGGAGUGGCUAGUGUUAGCAGCAAAAAGCCAACAGAAAUCAGCCAAUGGGGAUUUAUUUUCCGUUCCGUUGGGGUUGGGCGUUGGCUGCAGGCUCAGGCUGUUGAGAUUUUGGGAGAAGCUUUGCACUCUCUCUCUCUCUGAUUGGGGAAGGGAGAAAUUUGGAAUGGUAAAGCAUGACACGCGGGCUGACUAAGUG